RNAcentral lists this small RNA (93 nucleotides) under Salix viminalis (osier). The record is from RNAcentral. Lineage: Eukaryota; Viridiplantae; Streptophyta; Magnoliopsida; Malpighiales; Salicaceae.
GGGCUGACGAUGAGCCAAAACCCGUGAUUCAGUUACCCGAUUUUAUGAAAGAUUUUACUGCAGGUAUUGAAUUUGAUCCAGAAAUUCAAGCUU